AACGCGAAGAACCUUACCUACCCUUGACAUGGUCGGAAUCCUGAAGAGAUUUGGGAGUGCUCGAAAGAGAACCGGCGCACAGGUGCUGCAUGGCUGUCGUCAGCUCGUGUCGUGAGAUGUUGGGUUAAGUCCCGCAACGAGCGCAACCCUUGUCAUUAGUUGUUACGAAAGGGCACUCUAAUGAGACUGCCGGUGACAAACCGGAGGAAGGUGGGGAUGACGUCAAGUCUCUCAUGGCCCUUAUGGGUAGGGCUUCACACGUCAUACAAUGGUACAUACAGAGGGCCGCCAACCCGCGAGGGGGAGCUAAUCCCAGAAAGUGUAUCGUAGUCCGGAUUGUAGUCUGCAAU
This 350-nucleotide ribosomal RNA is filed under the name uncultured Herbaspirillum sp. RNAcentral's name for it is "bacterial SSU rRNA". It matches the Rfam family "Bacterial small subunit ribosomal RNA", at positions 958 to 1311 of the family's 1533-position model. Lineage: Bacteria; Pseudomonadati; Pseudomonadota; Betaproteobacteria; Burkholderiales; Oxalobacteraceae. The record is from RNAcentral.